Lepisosteus oculatus (spotted gar) is the source of this 5411-nucleotide non-coding RNA. Lineage: Eukaryota; Metazoa; Chordata; Actinopteri; Semionotiformes; Lepisosteidae. The record is from RefSeq and is a predicted model, not a curated record.
CGAGGGCCUGCAGACCCCCGUUUAAUGGCGCGUCCAUGUCAGGCUGAUAUCACAACGUUACAGUGCCACUGUCAUGAUGAAGCUGAUGUCACAAUAGCUCUCUGUCGCUUAAUUCACUCUUGAGUUAAGGAGAGCGUCUCUCCCUGAUAAAAUCCCAGGAGCUGCCCGAAAUCUGAGCAUUCCCAGGACACCAACGACCCCACCUGGACCCAGUGAUGCUCAGCCAGUGGUGAUCCCCCCCUAGAAUCCUGAAUCUGGCGUGUCUCAAGCAACUUCCCACGUUUCUCAAGAUUGAGGAAGGACCUUUUGAUGUUUUUAAAGCUUUUUUGUUCGUUUGUUAAUGUUGUUGCAAAGAGUGUGCAUAUCCAGCCUGACUAAAUUCUGUGCAGAUCGCAACGUCUGUUCUAUAAACUCCAGAGAUGGUCAGACAGGCUUUUAAUAUUUUAAACACUACAAGAUUUUCCAGAUGCUGUUAACAAGCCAGACUGUCCCACAAGCUCCCUAUCCUCUCAGUGCUCUCUCAUUCUUCACUGAACAUUUUACCACCCUUUCUGAACAAGGAGCGAGCCGACAUAAAAGAGUUCUGUUUGUUUUAAGAUGUGUUCUUGACUUUUAUGAUGUCACAAUAGCUCUCUGUCGCUUAAUUCACUCUUGAGUUAAGGAGAGCGUCUCUCCCUGUGUUUAACUGCUUGACACCCUAGAAACUAACAGCACCCUUGGGAGACACUGUGGUCAUUUUGGUCUCUCAGUCAGGUUUGCUGCUUGUGUGCUUUUUCCUGUCUCUCUUAAUUAAAUCGGUCGAUUCAGUGGCUUCCCUCAACACAUCACACCGCUGGGUGAGUAACGAGUUGCUUGUUGCUAUUUAAAACACAAACACAGCUGAUGAAGGGGGGUGGCAAGGAAGGGUGACUUUAUCAUGUUGUGUGUUUUCAGUUCUUCUGCUCGCUGUUCUCCACCUGCUGUUUUGGCCCUGUCCAGCAGGGGGAGUGUCAGUGUACUGCCCCACUUAAUCAGGCAAGCCUGAAAUUAAAGUGUUGAGGAUACCUGAAGAACAGGGAUAACAACAUAUGGGACCAACAGCCAAUUAUGCAAUGUAAAAAUCUAAUACUUCUGGGAUGCCUAUUAGAAAACUCAGGGUCUAAGUGCCCCGAUCUAUAGGAAUCUCAUUUCUUGAUGAGUAUUUAAUGCUGCUGUUUACGCUGGGGAUGUAAGAGCUGGUUAAUCAGCCUGCGUACCCUUUAACGUGCCCGCUACAUCCAUAUUUGAAUUAUUCAGAGAUUCCUUAAAGCGUUUCUUGUGUUUCUGUGAAUAAUUGAAGAUGCAGAGAAACAGGUAAGAAAAAGAAGGCAGUGAUAAGGCCUCAAAUAGAGCAUUAAAGAGGUCUGGCAGGCAAAGCUCUGCUGGCCGAUCAGUAAAUAUUAGAUGCAAUUCUUGCAUUCAUUUGUAACUGGGCUUAUUGACAGAAGCUCUGACUCCCGAGAGCUGUUGAGAGAAGGGUUUCUUUUCCUUGUUAAAUUGUUCUGCACGGCUCACAGUAAUAAUAAGAGACCGCCAUUCUCGAAUUGACCAAAGAGAACUGACUUUUGAAAGAGCCCCCAUCUGCGACUGUGAAAUUGUCAUCUUCCAGUAGCGCUCCAGCCCCUAUCAUAUGAACAGCCCACAUGAGGUUGCUGUUCUGCAUGCUGCAAGACGCCAAGCUGAUGAGUUUGUGCCUGCUCCAAAUUGUGCUUGGUGUGGUAUAGGUGGCUGGGUUUGCGUUGCAUUACCAUUGUGGGGAAUCUGUUCAGCUCAACAUGAUAGAGCUUAAAUAAGAGGACCCCCUAAACUGGGAACUGAGUAAUAUACCACAAUUAACUUCGUGUGAGCUGUUGUUAGAAUUUCUUUUUUGCUUAGACAAGCUGAGGCUGUUGGUGCCACCUGUCUACCUUCAUUUGUGGGGGUGACAGAUCCAGGAGCGCUGUUUGAAACUUAAAUGCAGUAAUAUUUCCAAAGCAGAUCUGACAUUCUCGGUUGUUGUGGACACCGUCGCUGCGUUGGUUGGGAACCCACAGCCGAUCCAAAGUGACGUUCUUUUGACAAAGGACGGGGAGUGCUCACGUUAACUGUUCCAGAACAGACCAGUGUGUCUGCCGAAGUAAACCCCGCGCAAUCCGAAGGGACAAGGCCUCAGGUGUAACAAUGGCUCUGUCGGACUCUCGGUGAUCUCCUGACUUGUGUGCACGCAGAGACUGGCUGCCGGAUCUGGAUUAGUGUGUUCCUGAGUGGAGCAUGGCAGUACUGCAGUGCCUGUUCAGUGCAGGGCAGCUCCACACUUCCCACAGGCACUUUCUUAUCUAGAGGCUCCCGGCGGUGCGGCCCUAAUUACAUAACUACUUAGUUAACUGGCUCCUUAAUUUAAUGAAUAUGUUAAAAAAAAACAAGAGGAGAGGAAACAGUGUUUGACAAUUUUAAUUAUUUCUGCUCUAGUGAAGUGACUCAGCGUUGCACUGCCUAUUUGUUUUUUGGCUUUCUCUUUACGACAGGGCUCCUUGCUGGAUCCUGCGCUGAGAGACUCCCCGUCCGCCUCUCGCAAGAGGGCUCAGGAGGCCCCGUCUUUGCUUGUGACCUUUCUCUGGCAGCAGCUAAGUCUCCCUGCUUUGGAAGUGAAUGCUACAAGAGAUCCCACUCCUGCAGAGGGAUGGGAAGUUCAUCCCCUAUCCCCUCUGGAAAACCGGGCUGGGUUUGGGCUGUAGGUGUUUCAGAGCUCUGCAGCUUGUACCCCACUCUUCCUGCUCUGGCUGGUAUUGUGUGGGAGGUCCCCCCUUUUUCCACCAGUGAGAGCAGAGGAAGGCAACCCUGCCAUACAGACUAUGCAUGCUGAGGCAGCUCCCCACCUGAACUUCUGCCGUACAGGUCCCUGAAAACACGCAGUGAGCAGAGAGAGCUCUAGAAAACCUCCGCCAGUUAAGCAACGGAUUGAUGCUUCGGAGUCAUUCCAUGGAAUGGAAACCUCAAGACCCUCCUGCUCUGACGGCCAGGGUCAUGGACAGGGGGAGCAUUACCUCAGGUGCCUCCCGUCCUCCAUCUGCAGCUCCUGCCCAGUAGUGUUGACCUGCUUGUUGCUGGGAGCCGGGGGGUCAACUAGCUGAAACGCUGAGGGAGUGAAGCCGAGGGCGGACUCCUGUAGCAGGAGAAAAAAAAACACAGAAAAGGACAAAAAGGGAAAAACCGCUUUGCACAGCCUAUUUAACGAGGGCCAGCCUGGGGGAAAAGGAGUGAGGCCAAAAGCAAUAAGAAACUCAGCCUGCCACCGUGAAUCCUCACAGCGGGACAGGAAAAAAGAAGCAAAGACGCGGCCUCAACGCUCUCGUCACAGUCCCCGCUGGGACUGUUGCUGGGAGUUCCUCCCCUUGCGGGGCUCUGCUCGUCCCUCCGGGGAGGAGCUCAGUGUGUCUUCCCCACAGCUGGGGCUCGUCCUUAACUAGCCAGGGCAGCUGUGGUUGCUAAGGCAACGUCCAGGGCUCCGCCUCCACACUGACCACGCCCCCCGGAAUGCCACACACCCUUGCUUCUCACAGCCGCCCCUCCCCCCUGCCCCGCCCACUCCGACUCGGCCCGCAGCCUUGUGUCCCCACCCUACCCCCCCCCAGGGGAAGCAUCUGCCCUGCAUCCCCAGGGCCCCACCUCUGCUUCUGUAGACGGCCUCGUCCCUUCGUCCCCACCGGGGUCCCAGGGAUGAAAGCACAGCCCUGUGCAUGUGUGCGCUGGCAGCACAGGAGACAGAGAGAGAGGAAAACGCACUCUCUCACCGUGAGUCACUCACCGAGGUUUAUUUCUGCUUCUGAAAUAACAGGUGGGUGUUAAAUCACCAUGGAAGCACUGCUAUUACAGUAUAAGAAGUACCUGAUUGUAUACCCUGAUGCAGUGAAAGGCGCUUUGUGAUUGAAUCUUUUGUACCGAAUAUGUAGGAAGAUGUGUCUCAGUUACGUACAUUUUCAUCAUUUUUUAAUAUUUUUUUUUACCAGGCAGUUGCAUUGUACUAUGAACAUAAUUAUUGGUUUUAACUUUUGUCCUGCACAUAACAUUAAUCUAAGUGUGAUGCCUGUCUGGGAAAAUGUUAGGAAAGCCUGCCUGAGCUCUGUUUGCAGUGCAAACAGCCUCAAAAGCAGUGUUCCCUUCCUUCAUUUGGAAGCCAUGAGAAGAUUUGCAAAAAUCUUUGUCCUCUUUCACUUAUUGAGACACAAGAGCUCAAGGUAACUCUGUAGGGAAGGAAGCUAUCCUGCCCACUGGUGCUUGUUAAUUUCCUGUACACUAAAGCAAUUCUGUCACAGGGCGACAGAUAAUUCAGAGGUGCACUUUCUAGCGUUGGUGCAGAAUUGGCUUUUAAUACAUUUCCAGUGGUGUCCUUGUACUCGAAACGUGAUGUGAAACAGCGAUCAGCGUCACCUCUCUUGUAUUUCCUUUAACGUUUGCAAAAACCAGUUUCAUCCCAGAACGUUGUCUGUCGGACUGAAAAGAUUAAGUUCCUUCGUAAGGAAGGGGGCAGACGUUCAGCGCCUCUAGAUCGCUUGGCUGCCAUUAACUAAUCAAUCUCGUCCAGUAGUUUGAAUCCUUCCCUCAGCUCCUUAAAUAAGUCAUGGUGCUCCUUUAUGGCCUUGCUGCAAAACCCUCUCUGUCCCUCUUCUUUAGUUAUUUUAACGCAGAGCCUUGUGCAGCACUGCAGAUGUGCAGAACGUACAGUGACCAUACAGAUGUGCAGGGUGACACGCUGGCCGCUGUGUCAGCAAGUGCACAGCACUGAGAGUGAAGCAAGAGAUCCGUCAUUCACAGCAAAAUGACAGAUUCGCACAUUACACUGAGGGAUUUGUUAGCUGCCUGCUGUAAAACCCUGGAAAUCGGACACUAGAAAUGAGUAAUAUGGCAGCACAGUUACUCAUCUUUGUAGGAGUCUCUGGCCAUUGAUAUUGUGCACAAAGGAGGCUUUUCUAUGAUUUGUUUCAGCUAUUAGAAGGACCUCAGAAGUGCUAUUCUCUGGAUUCCUGCUUUUAUGACCAGACAACGAAACAAGGCUAAAGACCAAAAAACUUCUGAGGCUGGAGAAGAGUUACUUGAUAGUGUCCUCCUUCUGUGCACAUCGAAGCACCUAAUUUGAAGGCAUUACUAGGUUACAAACCCCUAAGGUGUCGUCCUCACCAUACACAGCAGGUAGCUGAUUAAUCCUGUUCAUGAAUAAGCGCACAUUAUUUUAAGACGACCGACAUGACAGCCCUCAAAGAUUUACCGGUGUAUCAAAAAAGCAUCCUUAAACAUCACUGGACAGCCACUUCUGUCUGCUUACCUUGGGCCUUGUGAGGGUAGUGGGUGAAACAGUCACAUGAAGCACGGUGACCUCUAACACCAAACAUCACUGCACUGCUUUGCAAAGGUUUUAG